UACGUAGGGUGCGAGCGUUAAUCGGAAUUACUGGGCGUAAAGUGUGCGCAGGCGUCAGAGCAAGUCGAGUGUGAAAGCCCCGGGCUUAACUUGGGAAUUGCGCUCGAAACUACUUUGCUGGAGUGUGGCAGAGGAAGGUGGAAUUCCACGUGUAGCGGUGAAAUGCGUAGAGAUGUGGAGGAACACCAAUGGCGAAGGCAGCCUUCUGGGCCAACACUGACGCUCAUGCACGAAAGCGUGGGGAGCAAACAGG
RNAcentral lists this ribosomal RNA (253 nucleotides) under uncultured bacterium. RNAcentral describes it as "partial 16S ribosomal RNA". It matches the Rfam family "Bacterial small subunit ribosomal RNA", at positions 524 to 776 of the family's 1533-position model. The record is from RNAcentral.